RNAcentral lists this transfer RNA (76 nucleotides) under Candidatus Aerophobetes bacterium Ae_b3a. RNAcentral describes it as "tRNA-Arg". It matches the Rfam family "tRNA". From Rfam's summary of the family: Transfer RNA (tRNA) molecules are approximately 80 nucleotides in length. Their secondary structure includes four short double-helical elements and three loops (D, anti-codon, and T loops). The record is from RNAcentral. Lineage: Bacteria; Candidatus Aerophobota. RNAcentral also lists the same sequence under 4 other names.
GCGCCUGUGGUUCAGUGGAUAGAACGUCGGCCUCCGGAGCCGAAAGUCGCAGGUUCGAAUCCUGCCAGGCGCACCA